This 773-nucleotide ribosomal RNA is filed under the name uncultured bacterium. RNAcentral describes it as "bacterial SSU rRNA". It matches the Rfam family "Bacterial small subunit ribosomal RNA", at positions 8 to 798 of the family's 1533-position model. The record is from RNAcentral.
AGAGUUUGAUCCUGGCUCAGGACGAACGCUGGCGGCGUGCUUAACACAUGCAAGUCGAACGGAAAGGCCCUUCGGGGUACUCGAGUGGCGAACGGGUGAGUAACACGUGGGUGAUCUGCCCUGCGCUUUGGGAUAAGCCUGGGAAACUGGGUCUAAUACCGAAUAUGACCAUGCGCCUCCUGGUGUGUGGUGGAAAGCUUUUGCGGUGUGGGAUGGGCCCGCGGCCUAUCAGCUUGUUGGUGGGGUAAUGGCCUACCAAGGCGACGACGGGUAGCCGGCCUGAGAGGGUGACCGGCCACACUGGGACUGAGAUACGGCCCAGACUCCUACGGGAGGCAGCAGUGGGGAAUAUUGCACAAUGGGCGCAAGCCUGAUGCAGCGACGCCGCGUGAGGGAUGACGGCCUUCGGGUUGUAAACCUCUUUCAGCACAGACGAAGCGCAAGUGACGGUAUGUGCAGAAGAAGGACCGGCCAACUACGUGCCAGCAGCCGCGGUAAUACGUAGGGUCCGAGCGUUGUCCGGAAUUACUGGGCGUAAAGAGCUCGUAGGUGGUUUGUCGCGUUGUUCGUGAAAACUCACAGCUUAACUGUGGGCGUGCGGGCGAUACGGGCAGACUUGAGUACUGCAGGGGAGACUGGAAUUCCUGGUGUAGCGGUGGAAUGCGCAGAUAUCAGGAGGAACACCGGUGGCGAAGGCGGGUCUCUGGGCAGUAACUGACGCUGAGGAGCGAAAGCGUGGGGAGCGAACAGGAUUAGAUACCCUGGUAGUCCAA